GUCCACGCUGUAAACGAUGAGUACUAGGUGUUGGGGGUAUCGACCCCCUCAGUGCCGAAGCUAACGCGAUAAGUACUCCGCCUGGGGACUACGGCCGCAAGGCUAAAACUCAAAGGAAUUGACGGGGGCCCCGCACAAGCAGCGGAGCGUGUGGUUUAAUUCGACGCAACGCGAAGAACCUUACCUAGGCUUGACAUGCACGUGGUAAGACUGGGAAACCAGGAUGACCCGCAAGGGAGCGUGCACAGAUGCUGCAUGGCUGUCGU
This 266-nucleotide ribosomal RNA is filed under the name uncultured bacterium. RNAcentral's name for it is "partial 16S ribosomal RNA". It matches the Rfam family "Bacterial small subunit ribosomal RNA", at positions 793 to 1055 of the family's 1533-position model. The record is from RNAcentral.